AAAUGAAUUGACGAGGCCCGCACAAGCGGUGAGCAUGUGGUUUAAUUCGAAGCAACGCGAAGAACCUUACCAGGUCUUGACAUCCCUGACAACCCGAGAGAUCGGGCGUUCCCCUUCGGGGGACAGGGUGACAGGUGGUGCAUGGUUGUCGUCAGCUCGUGUCGUGAGAUGUUGGGUUAAGUCCCGCAACGAGCGCAACCCUCGACCUUAGUUGCCAGCAUUCAGUUGGGCACUCUAAGGUGACUGCCGGCUAAAAGUCGGAGGAAGUGGGGAUGACGUCAAAUCAUCAUGCCCCUUAUGACCUGGGCUACACACGUGCUACAAUGGGCGGUACAAAGGGUCGCGAACCCGCGAGGGGGAGCCAAUCCCAAAAAGCCGCUCUCAGUUCGGAUUGCAGGCUGCAACUCGCCUGCAUGAAGCCGGAAUCGCUAGUAAUCGCGGAUCAGCAUGCCGCGGUGAAUACGUUCCCGGGCCUU
Molecule: ribosomal RNA, 476 nt
Filed under: uncultured Anoxybacillus sp.
Lineage: Bacteria; Bacillati; Bacillota; Bacilli; Caryophanales; Anoxybacillaceae
Description: bacterial SSU rRNA
Rfam family: Bacterial small subunit ribosomal RNA
Source: RNAcentral